Molecule: small nucleolar RNA, 130 nt
Filed under: Pyrococcus horikoshii OT3
Lineage: Archaea; Methanobacteriati; Methanobacteriota; Thermococci; Thermococcales; Thermococcaceae
Description: HgcE RNA (Pab105)
Rfam family: HgcE RNA (Pab105)
About the family: The HgcE ncRNA gene was identified computationally in AT-rich hyperthermophiles. The genes were named hgcA through hgcG ("high GC").
Source: Rfam by way of RNAcentral
GGCGCGCAAUGAACGAGGUGACGUCGUCGGGCGGACAGGGCCCGGUCUCCGGGGCCGCCUGAGGUUGCCGAGAAUGGCGUUCAAUGAAGGCGGGCGGAUAAUCCGGGCCUAAAGAACUUUAAUUCUAACU